Molecule: ribosomal RNA, 465 nt
Filed under: uncultured bacterium
Lineage: Bacteria
Description: partial 16S ribosomal RNA
Rfam family: Bacterial small subunit ribosomal RNA
Source: RNAcentral
GACGAACGCUGGCGGCGUGCUUAACACAUGCAAGUCGAACGGAAAGGCCCUGCUUGCAGGGUACUCGAGUGGCGAACGGGUGAGUAACACGUGGGUGAUCUGCCCUGCACUUCGGGAUAAGCCUGGGAAACUGGGUCUAAUACCGGAUAGGAGCCAUUUUUAGUGUGAUGGUUGGAAAGUUUUUUCGGUGUAGGAUGAGCUCGCGGCCUAUCAGCUUGUUGGUGGGGUAAUGGCCUACCAAGGCGGCGACGGGUAGCCGGCCUGAGGGGGUGGACGGCCACAUUGGGACUGAGAUACGGCCCAGACUCCUACGGGAGGCAGCAGUGGGGAAUAUUGCACAAUGGGCGCAAGCCUGAUGCAGCGACGCCGCGUGGGGGAUGACGGCCUUCGGGUUGGAAACUCCUUUCGCUAGGGACGAAGCUUUUUGUGACGGUACCUAGAUAAGAAGCACCGGCUAACUACGUG